GGGGCCGAUUUGGUUUUGACAAUACGGCCGAUUUUUUAGUAAGCAUGUCGAGUGUGGAAUGUAUACUCGUUAAUAAAUGUGUUCAAACUUUUAAGUGGAAACACUUCUUACGCUCUCGCGGCUUAAUCUAACUUAGUUAGAUUACCUAAUUCCAGCUACUAGGUAGCGGAACGAGAUGCCUCGCUGCUGGUUUCGUCUUUUUGCGGCAGACUUGAGGUAUCGUACAAAUUGACUAGCUAGUGCUGUGUCUAGGUGCACUAGCGAAAUUUAAUAGACUAAGCCAUAAUUUUGCAGUUCUUAGUGUGAUUAUGGUCGAAAACCAAAUAAGAACUACACAUGUAGAAAGCUAACGAAUCCCAUAUCUGGACGAGGGUUCGAGUCCCUCCGGCUCCACAU
This 396-nucleotide transfer-messenger RNA is filed under the name Flavobacteriales. RNAcentral's name for it is "ASP10-05a sp000981645 Standard tmRNA". It matches the Rfam family "transfer-messenger RNA". From Rfam's summary of the family: Bacterial tmRNA, also known as 10Sa RNA or SsrA, is named for its dual tRNA and mRNA-like properties. Its role is to liberate the mRNA from a stalled ribosome. RNAcentral also lists the same sequence under 1 other name. Lineage: Bacteria; Pseudomonadati; Bacteroidota; Flavobacteriia. The record is from RNAcentral.